This 468-nucleotide ribosomal RNA is filed under the name uncultured bacterium. RNAcentral's name for it is "partial 16S ribosomal RNA". It matches the Rfam family "Bacterial small subunit ribosomal RNA", at positions 28 to 507 of the family's 1533-position model. The record is from RNAcentral.
GACGAACGCUGGCGGCGUGCUUAACACAUGCAAGUCGAACGGAAAGGCCCUGCUUUUGUGGGGUGCUCGAGUGGCGAACGGGUGAGUAACACGUGAGUAACCUGCCCUUGACUUUGGGAUAACUUCAGGAAACUGGGGCUAAUACCGGAUAGGAGCUCCUGCUGCAUGGUGGGGGUUGGAAAGUUUCGGCGGUUGGGGAUGGACUCGCGGCUUAUCAGCUUGUUGGUGGGGUAGUGGCUUACCAAGGCUUUGACGGGUAGCCGGCCUGAGAGGGUGAACGGCCACAUGGGGACUGAGAUACGGCCCAGACUCCUACGGGAGGCAGCAGUGGGGAAUAUUGCACAAUGGGCGGAAGCCUGAUGCAGAAACGCCGCGUGCGGGAUGACGGCCUUCGGGUUGUAAACCGCUUUCGCCUGUGACGAAGCGUGAGUGACGGUAAUGGGUAAAGAAGCACCGGCUAACUACGUG